UCUGCGACUGACCAAAAGUACUUCUUGAUGAAACAGCAUAUAUUUUUUUUAAAAUAACUUUAAAAAAAAAAUAUUUUUGACCUCCGAAAAACUUUGCCAAACAUUCUCUAAAUAUUUAGGACUAUGUACCUUUUCUGCAAUGAGUAAUGACUGAAGUUUGACUCCAUUAAAAGGAAGGGAAAAGGGCCAAGUUUCAAAUUCCAAGUUUGACCCAAUACCAUGAAAAAUUGAGCAACUUUGUUUUUGUUAAACUUUUGAUCUAUAAGUCAAUUGUUAGGAAAAGUUCUUAUUU
Molecule: long non-coding RNA, 292 nt
Filed under: Nicotiana benthamiana
Lineage: Eukaryota; Viridiplantae; Streptophyta; Magnoliopsida; Solanales; Solanaceae
Description: long non-coding RNA (NBEN_LNC029119)
Source: RNAcentral